RNAcentral lists this ribosomal RNA (949 nucleotides) under Didymella heteroderae. Its description in RNAcentral is "eukaryotic LSU rRNA". It matches the Rfam family "Eukaryotic large subunit ribosomal RNA", at positions 79 to 1048 of the family's 3401-position model. Lineage: Eukaryota; Fungi; Ascomycota; Dothideomycetes; Pleosporales; Didymellaceae. The record is from RNAcentral.
CCUAGUAACGGCGAGUGAAGCGGCAACAGCUCAAAUUUGAAAUCUGGCGUCUUCGGCGUCCGAGUUGUAAUUUGCAGAGGGCGCUUUGGCAUUGGCAGCGGUCCAAGUUCCUUGGAACAGGACGUCACAGAGGGUGAGAAUCCCGUACGUGGUCGCUAGCCUUUACCGUGUAAAGCCCCUUCGACGAGUCGAGUUGUUUGGGAAUGCAGCUCUAAAUGGGAGGUAAAUUUCUUCUAAAGCUAAAUACUGGCCAGAGACCGAUAGCGCACAAGUAGAGUGAUCGAAAGAUGAAAAGCACUUUGGAAAGAGAGUUAAAAAGCACGUGAAAUUGUUGAAAGGGAAGCGCUUGCAGCCAGACUUGCCUGUAGUUGCUCAUCCGGGUUUCUACCCGGUGCACUCUUCUACGGGCAGGCCAGCAUCAGUUUGGGCGGUUGGAUAAAGGUCUCUGUCAUGUACCUCUCUUCGGGGAGAACUUAUAGGGGAGACGACAUGCAACCAGCCUGGACUGAGGUCCGCGCAUCUGCUAGGAUGCUGGCGUAAUGGCUGUAAGCGGCCCGUCUUGAAACACGGACCAAGGAGUCUAACAUCUAUGCGAGUGUUUGGGUGUCAAGCCCGAGCGCGUAAUGAAAGUGAACGGAGGUGGGAACCCUUCGGGGUGCACCAUCGACCGAUCCUGAUGUCUUCGGAUGGAUUUGAGUAAGAGCAUAGCUGUUGGGACCCGAAAGAUGGUGAACUAUGCUUGAAUAGGGUGAAGCCAGAGGAAACUCUGGUGGAGGCUCGCAGCGGUUCUGACGUGCAAAUCGAUCGUCAAAUUUGGGCAUAGGGGCGAAAGACUAAUCGAACUAUCUAGUAGCUGGUUCCUGCCGAAGUUUCCCUCAGGAUAGCAGUAACGUUUUCAGUUUUAUGAGGUAAAGCGAAUGAUUAGAGGCCUGGGGGUUGAAACAACCUU